RNAcentral lists this ribosomal RNA (484 nucleotides) under uncultured bacterium. Its description in RNAcentral is "partial 16S ribosomal RNA". It matches the Rfam family "Bacterial small subunit ribosomal RNA", at positions 30 to 507 of the family's 1533-position model. The record is from RNAcentral.
AUUGAACGCUGGCGGCAGGCCUAACACAUGCAAGUCGAGCGGAUGAAGGGAGCUUGCUCCUGGAUUCAGCGGCGGACGGGUGAGUAAUGCCUAGGAAUCUGCCUGGUAGUGGGGGAUAACGUCCGGAAACGGGCGCUAAUACCGCAUACGUACUGAGGGAGAAAGUGGGGGAUCUUCGGACAUCACGCUAUCAGAUGAGCCUAGGUCGGAUUAGCUAGUUGGUGGGGUAAGGGCCUACCAAGGCGACGAUCCGUAACUGGUCUGAGAGGAUGAUCAGUCACACUGGAACUGAGACACGGUCCAGACUCCUACGGGAGGCAGCAGUGGGGAAUAUUGGACAAUGGGCGAAAGCCUGAUCCAGCCAUGCCGCGUGUGUGAAGAAGGUCUUCGGAUUGUAAAGCACUUUAAGUUGGGAGGAAGGGCAGUAAGUUAAUACCUUGCUGUUUUGACGUUACCAACAGAAUAAGCACCGGCUAACUUCGUG